ACGGCUCAGUAACACGUGGACAACCUAACCUAAGGACAGGCCUAACCUCGGGAAACUGAGGGUAAUUCCUGAUAGGAUACGGACACUGGAAAGUUCCAUAUCCCAAAUCAUUUAUGGCCUUAGGAUGGGUCUGCGGCAGAUCAGCCUGUUGGUAGGGUAACGGCCUACCAAAGCGAUAAUCUGUACGGGUGAUGUGAGUCAUAGCCCGGAGAAGGGGACUGAGACAAGGCCCCUAGCCCUACGGGGUGCAGCAGUUACGAAACCUUUACAAUGCGCGAAAGCGUGAUAAGGGAACUCCAAGUGAUUAUACGCGAGUAUAAUCUUUUGCUAAGUGUAGGUAGCUUGGCGAAUAAGGACUGGGCAAGAUUCGUGCCAGCCGCCGCGGUAAUACGAACAGUCCGAGUAGUGCCCGCGAAUAUUGGGCUUAAAGCGUCCGUAGCUGGUUCAUCAAGUCCUUUGUGAAAGCCCAUUGCUCAACUUUGGGAAGUGCAGAGGAAACUGUUGGACUUGGAGGCGGGAGAGGUCAGAGGUACUUUUAGAGUAGCGGUAGAAUGCAAUAAUCCUAAAAGGACCACCAGUAGCGAAGGCGUCUGACUAGAACGCACUCGACAGUGAGGGACGAGGGCUAGGGGAGCAACAGGGACUAGAUACCCCUUUAGUCCUAGCUGUAAAGGAUGCAAACUAGGUGUUACGUAAUCCUUGUGAUUGCGUGGUGCCGCAGGGAAACCGGUAAGUUUGCCGCCUGGGGAGUACGGCCGCAAGACUGGAACUUAAAGGAAUUGGCGGGGGAGCACCACAAGCGGUGGAGGGUGUGGUUUAAUUGGAUUCAACGCC
RNAcentral lists this ribosomal RNA (834 nucleotides) under uncultured archaeon. Its description in RNAcentral is "bacterial SSU rRNA". It matches the Rfam family "Archaeal small subunit ribosomal RNA", at positions 85 to 919 of the family's 1478-position model. The record is from RNAcentral.